GACGAACGCUGGCGGCGUGCUUAAUACAUGCAAGUCGAACGGAAAGGCCCUGCUUUUGUGGGGUUCUCGAGUGGCGAACGGGUGAGUAACACGUGAGUAACCUGUCCUUGACUUUGGGAUAACUUCAGGAAACUGGGGCUAAUACCGGAUAGGAUCUCCUGCUGCGUGGGGGGGGUUGGAAAGUUUCGGCGGUUGGGGAUGGACUCGCGGCUUAUCAGCUUGUUGGUGGGGUAGUGGCUUACCAAGGCUUUGACGGGUAGCCGGCCUGAGAGGGUGACCGGCCACAUUGGGACUGAGAUACGGCCCAGACUCCUACGGGAGGCAGCAGUGGGGAAUAUUGCACAAUGGGCGGAAGCCUGAUGCAGCAACGCCGCGUGCGGGAUGACGGCCUUCGGGUUGUAAACCGCUUUCGCCUGUGACGAAGCGUGAGUGACGGUAAUGGGUAAAGAAGCACCGGCUAACUACGUG
RNAcentral lists this ribosomal RNA (468 nucleotides) under uncultured bacterium. RNAcentral's name for it is "partial 16S ribosomal RNA". It matches the Rfam family "Bacterial small subunit ribosomal RNA", at positions 28 to 507 of the family's 1533-position model. The record is from RNAcentral.